Anolis carolinensis (green anole) is the source of this 1364-nucleotide long non-coding RNA. RefSeq lists it as uncharacterized. The record is from RefSeq and is a predicted model, not a curated record. The transcript is spliced from 2 exons. NCBI's taxonomy places the organism in Eukaryota, Metazoa, Chordata, Lepidosauria, Squamata, Anolidae.
GACAAGCCGGGGAGGAGUUGGAGGAAGGGGAUCUGGUUUGGCUAUCUUCUAAAUACAUUAAACAGGCUGGAGGAAAGUUUGCGCCACGGUAUUUGGGGCCUUUCCCUAUUACUAAAAAAAUCUCUUCUGUGGCAUUUAGACUGCGUUUACCUUCUUCUUUUAAGAUCCAUCCUGUCUUUCACCGUUCUUUGUUAAAGUUAGAUACUUCUGGGCGCCGUAACACUGUAGCUGAAGACAUCACUGCCGUAUCUCCACCUUUGGAGGAGGAGGCCUUUGUGAGAGGGGAUAGUGUUAUGGUUGAGCCUUAUGGCUCCAAUACUGGGAGACGUGGUCGUAAGACUCCUCGAGAGUCAGACUCUCUUGAGGAGUGAGAGAGGAAACGGCUGCGGGAUAUCUUUGCAGAACCAUCUGACGAAGGCUCCUUUGAGGGUUUUACUGAGAGAAUGGAGGAAGAGGUGGUUAGCUCAGAGGAGGAUGACAUGGAAUGGACUCGUGUGAGGGAGGAUUUGGGUGUUCCUGGUAAUGAUAGCAUGGGAAGCGACUGGCGGGUUGCAGGAUCGGACCUGUGGACGAGUUGGAGGGAUGGGACGGGAUCCACAGCUGGGGAUGCUGUGGGGCGUAGUCAAAGAUGUUUUAGUUCUGAUGAGGAUGAUGAUGAUGAGGCACCUGGAAUUAGGGUAACACCUGAUAGCGAUGAGGAGUUGUAACUGGCAUAAAAUGGGGUCUUGAAUCCAGAGCUAAUUGCGUUGGGCAAGGUAAUCUGGACGGACGCUUGGGAUCUUGUUGGGAAAUUCCUGAAGACGGGUGUGUUUCGUUUGCUGAAUACCUUGGACCUCCGUCGUCUUCUUGACGGACAUUAUUUACCUACUCGGAAUUGACGCUGGACUGGCUGACUGACUGACUGACUGACUGGCUGACUGACUACGAUCUUGGACGACCCUUUCUUUGGUUAUCGGAGGAUUUCGUGGAACCUAAGACGCCUGCACCUGGUAAUCGACCUCGGACCGGAUUGGGACCCCGCUGACCGCUGCAACCCUUGAUUGAAGUGUUUGGACCUGGAGUUCGCCCGCUGCUCGGAGGAGUAACAACUUAGUUGCUCAACCACAGCUGUUGAGUAGCAGAGAGGAAUCUGCUGCCAGUAUUUAUGUUCUAUUGAAUCUUUGUUUACCAGCUUUUGUUUGUUUAUAGUCCCAGGCUGAAGUAAGCAUUUUUGGUUUAACCCGGAUUAAACUCCUGUUUAAUCCGGUUCAUCUUUUGAACCAUUUUUGAGUGACUUUUCAUAUUGAAGGCGAGUGUUUGCCUAGCUCUUUGUUUUUUACGAGCAUUUUUGGUUCUGUAUCUUUAAUAAACUGUGUUGAAUCUUA